Molecule: transfer RNA, 69 nt
Filed under: Gegeneophis ramaswamii (Tenmalai caecilian)
Lineage: Eukaryota; Metazoa; Chordata; Amphibia; Gymnophiona; Indotyphlidae
Description: tRNA-Val
Source: RNAcentral
CAAAAUGUAGUUUAACACAAACAUUUCGUUUACACCGAAAAAACUUCCGAUAAAAUCAGAACAUUUUGC